CCCCGCCAUCGCCUCCCGUGAGCCUCUCUCGGCCGCCGCCGGAGAGAGAAGCUCGCUCUCGUCCCUACCACCACCCUGUCUCCUACUCCUGCCCCACCUUCGUCCGGCCCCCCAAAACCGUAACCCUAACCCUAAAUCGCCCCCUCCAAACCCUAACCCUCCUCCCGCCCUUCAAUUCGCCUCGCCGGGACCCGAUCCCGUCCCCUCCGUCGCCGCCAUGGCACUCCUCUAAACUGCGCCGCUCGAUCGGCGCCCUUAUCUCCCUCCUCGCCACCACUGCUACAUCGGAUCCUCCACCUCGCAGUUAUGGCGAUCCGUUCCUUCCUCAGCCUGGCGCAGCAGCUCGCCAACAUCCGCUGCUGCGGUCCGUGCCGGAUCGUCCCCG
Molecule: unclassified non-coding RNA, 385 nt
Filed under: Hevea brasiliensis (rubber tree)
Lineage: Eukaryota; Viridiplantae; Streptophyta; Magnoliopsida; Malpighiales; Euphorbiaceae
Source: RNAcentral